Molecule: ribosomal RNA, 497 nt
Filed under: uncultured bacterium
Lineage: Bacteria
Description: partial 16S ribosomal RNA
Rfam family: Bacterial small subunit ribosomal RNA
Source: RNAcentral
GAUGAACGCUGGCGGCGUGCCUAAUACAUGCAAGUCGAGCGAACAGACGAGGAGCUUGCUCCUCUGACGUUAGCGGCGGACGGGUGAGUAACACGUGGAUAACCUACCUAUAAGACUGGGAUAACUUCGGGAAACCGGAGCUAAUACCGGAUAAUAUAUUGAACCGCAUGGUUCAAUAGUGAAAGACGGUUUUGCUGUCACUUAUAGAUGGAUCCGCGCCGCAUUAGCUAGUUGGUAAGGUAACGGCUUACCAAGGCAACGAUGCGUAGCCGACCUGAGAGGGUGAUCGGCCACACUGGAAGUGAGACACGGUCCAGACUACUGAGGGAGGCAGCAGUAGGGAAUCUUCCGCAAUAGGCGAAAGCCUGACGGAGCAACGCCGCGUGAGUGAUGAAGGUCUUCGGAUCGUAAAACUCUGUUAUUAGGGAAGAACAAAUGUGUAAGUAACUAUGCACGUCUUGACGGUACCUAAUCAGAAAGCCACGGCUAACUACGUG